Long non-coding RNA from Dicentrarchus labrax (European seabass), 1758 nucleotides. The record is from Ensembl. NCBI's taxonomy places the organism in Eukaryota, Metazoa, Chordata, Actinopteri, Moronidae.
AUGAUUUAUAAGAGGAAUCUGCUGCUCAACUGUCCGUCAAUGACACAUUUUUGGUCCAAAGAUUCUGUUGUUGAAGGCAGGAAAUCAACCGAUCUGGUUCCAGUUUGGUCGGACACAGCCGGCCCACAGACCAGAGACAACAACUGGAGCAAUGCCUGAUGGGUUGGAAAGUGUGCAGCUCAACACCAACAGUAGAUGAACCCUUACACUGCUUCCAGAGAAAUAUUACAAUUUGCUCGACACUUGAGCAGCUGAUAAAAGGGUUAACGUCUCCGGAGAGUCCAUGUCAAUGAGAGCUGCGUCUCUUUACUCUGAAAGGAAACUACAGAGAAGGCACAGAGAGGAGCAAGAGUCACAAAAACUCUCCACCAUAAAGCGAACACAGAGGUAUCACCUAGUGCAACAAUUACUCUCAUUAUCAGGUAAUUACUUUAUGUCCAUCGGAGUUUCUCAGAGCCCAAAGUGGCGUCUUAAAAUGUGUUUUUUAUCAAAGCAACAGUCCAAAAAUGUUCAGUUUACAUGUAGAAACCAGCAAAUAUUCACAUUAGAGAAGCUGUAACCAGAACAUUUUGACUUUUUUGAACAUUUAGCCAGAAUUUAAUUACUUGAGUACGCUGUUAUUGUUGGGUCAGACAAAGUUAAACUUCAUUAUAUUUAUAGUUUGAAGCUGAAACCACAGAAGUUUCAGUCUCUUUGAUUGAGGAAUGUAAAAUAAAUCUUUAGUGUCAAACAGUGAAUCUGUUCUGAUCUAAAUAAUAAUAAUAAUUAUAAUAGUUGCUGAUUUAUUCUCUUUUAUAAUGUAAAUUAAAUCAUUUUGGUUUAGUAGUUGUAGAUGUCACUUUAGGAAACUACAAUGGAGUAUUUUUACACCAUAAUAUUGGUACCAAUUUAUUAGUUUAAAGGAUCUGACCUCUUCUUCCACUCAUUAAUGAAAAUAAUGGUUAGUUAAAGCUAUCAGUUAUAAAUACAACCAUCCUCAGUAGAUUUAAUGAUCAACCAGUUAACUAACCAAUAAUUAAUCUAUGACCAACACAGACACCUCAGCUUCAAUAUCCUCCACACUCUUAAAAUAAAAGAUAAUUAAACGUACCGUUUGCGUUCAGAUGUCUCGUCUUUGUCCUCUUUAAUGAGUAAAAACACAUUUUAGACAAACAGGAACUUCCCUGAGAGCACACCUGCCUGUAACUGUGGGAGUGUUUGACCUGGUGACUCCCCCGGGCGGUGAUUAAAAGAACCCUUAUAGAUAAAGUUUAUCGUUUUUUUUUUUUCAUUUCUCCCAAUUGAAAAUACAAGUUAUAUGUUUGGGACUCACUUCUAUGGAAAAGAAAAGUCAUUAUGAUGAGAAAGUGCAAAAUAAAGACCUGUAAUUUCAUAAUCCAAGCUCUGAUUGAUCCCCUAUGUGGUGUGGAAGUGGACAAGGUCUUCCUCUACAUGUCUGAACAAACAGAAUGUGAAUAUCUUGAUGCAUUGAGGAAAUACAGGACCACAAACACAGACAUACAACAGGAGGAAAUAUCAAAUAUGAGGCUCUAUGAUGAAUGUAUUAAUUUACUUUAAGGUAGCUUUGGCUGGGAUUGUCCCACAAACACCAACCAGGGUUAGUUAGAAAGGUCUGAUUGAGCUGAAUCCAGCAGUAUAUGAUAUGUGACUGUAGCAUCAACAUUAAACUGCCACUUUAAUACGAGAGAAACUGUUAUCAGAUGUUCUGGAUGCAACAAGAAAUAAUUUGGCAAAAUACGCUUUUAAAGUAUAUUUGAG